Molecule: ribosomal RNA, 275 nt
Filed under: uncultured bacterium
Lineage: Bacteria
Description: partial 16S ribosomal RNA
Rfam family: Bacterial small subunit ribosomal RNA
Source: RNAcentral
AUACGGAGGUAGCAAGCGUUGUUCGGAAUUACUGGGCGUCAAGGGCGCGUAGGCGGCCUUGUAAGUCGGGUGUGAAAUGCCGGGGCUCAACUCCGUGCACUGCAUUCGAUACUGCUUGGCUAGAGAGAGGUAGAGGCGAGCGGAAUUCCCGGUGUAGCGGUGGAAUGCGUAGAUAUCGGGAAGAACAUCUGCGGCGAAGGCGGCUCGCUGGGCCUCAUCUGACGCUGAAGCGCGAAAGCGUGGGGAGCAAACAGGAGUAGAAACCCCAGUAGUCC